CCGGGGUAGUAUACAGCUAUUGUCUCGAAACCCAAAGAGUUUGGCGGUAUCUCAGUCUAGUUAGAGGAGCUUGUUCGGUAAUCGAUAAUCCGCGAAAAAUCUUACACACUUUUGUAGCCAGUUUAUAUACCGUCGUUAUUAGAUAAUAUUAAAAAGUAAACAAUUAUCUAAAUAUAUUAAAAUAUAGUAUAUCAGAUCAAGGUGUAGCUUAUAAGUGUGCUUGAAUGAGCUACAAUUUAAUAAUAAAAACGGAUUUUAUUUUUAAACAAAUAAUUAAAGGUGGAUUUAAUAGUAAUUG
Molecule: ribosomal RNA, 298 nt
Filed under: Miyakella holoschista
Lineage: Eukaryota; Metazoa; Arthropoda; Malacostraca; Stomatopoda; Squillidae
Description: Miyakea holoschista partial 12S ribosomal RNA
Source: RNAcentral